RNAcentral lists this long non-coding RNA (1895 nucleotides) under Homo sapiens (human). Its description in RNAcentral is "long non-coding RNA NONHSAT215574.1". Lineage: Eukaryota; Metazoa; Chordata; Mammalia; Primates; Hominidae. The record is from RNAcentral.
UUUAAAAUUGCACAGCCUAGAGCCCACAAAACCGAGCAUGUAAUUACACACUUACUAGAGGUAACAGCAGUGCUGAUAAUUAUUCUUUACACAGGAGAGACCCUGCUGAUAUCCCACAGUCAGAAAGUGGGAACUACAAUAUCUUUAAUACCAUCCUCAGAGACCCUCAUAAGCAGAAGAGAAGUAUGAGAAAGCUCACAAGGUCCACAGCAAUAUCUUCAUCGCGCCAGAAUGUCAGGGGCUUUAGCACAACAGAAAUCAAUAGUUUCUAGUACAUUUUUUGGUACAAUUUUUUUUUAAUGACCUAACCUGAGAAAGUACAGGGAAGGCAGAGGUACAGAACAGUAGGAAACAAAACCUCCUUAACCGAAGGCCUAUUUAGACAUGUCAUGCAACGUCAGUUUAGGAGAGACGCGUUCUUUAUCUGAGCCACACAACCGGGCAGCUGGAGCGAGGUCUUGGUCCUGGAGUGCUUUCGGUCAUAGGGUGUGUGCACGUCUGUGUGUGUGCUUCAGUCACAGAAGGGGGUGAGAAGUGGGAAGAGGGGAUUUGCAUAGAACCUCCAAUUUUCCUUAUUUCCUAGGGAGUUGAUGAUUUCAGGCAAAUAUAAGUCUUAACGUUACAUCUGCAAUGGAAAAACAAGUCAAACUCAGCAAAAAGGAGCCCUGAAGAGACAGAGUUAAGUGCUUCCGUGAUGAGAGUAGAGUUGGCCUAUGCUGUCCCUCCCAGGACUCCUUUACCCAAGAGAAAGAGAGAGUGUGCAUCCAAAGGGGAGUGAAAAUAGAAUAUAAAUAGGGAAAAUAGAACCAUUCAGAGCAGUUCAGGGAUCUUUACUACUCUGACAUGGAAGGAAGAAGGAGGAGAAGAGAAAAGAUGAACGGACCUUGAACCUGGGAUAUCGCUCAUGUGACUGCUACAUUGGUAUUAAGAUACAGCAUUCAUGUGCCCUGGAAUGUUUUGUUCUAUUAGGUGCUACACCCAGUAGAACAGUGCUCCAUCCAAUGCAAUUUUCUGGAAUUUAAACAAUCCAGACCAGAAUUUUUCCUCCUUGGAGAUGGAAUGUCUUGCUCCAGAGGGAGGAGGAAGAAGAGAAAAGAGAAGUCUCAACCAGCCUCCUCUCUACCCCACACAGAGAAUAGAGAUGCAAAACUUCUCCCAUAGAGUGUUUCAGCUUCUUCCUCGUUCCUCUUGCUUCUUUUCUCUUGGGAUAAUGACUUGGGUUUGGCCAGUAUGUAAAGUUGACUUGUGGUACCUCUGGCUCUUCUCCAGGGGUGCUCACAGAAAUAACUACAGUGGACUAGAAUGAGAUGCUUGAAACCUUCCCCCGAGCCUAGCUCUGCAUUUAGGAGAACAGCACAGCGCACCAUGAUCUGAUAUAGGUAUAGGUGGGUGGGAGUCUCAGUCUGUAGUUCUAUAUCACCUAUUAAGAGACUGGAACCUGGUCCCAUGUUUUCUGCAGGAGGUUGAGCUCUUAACAAUGUGCCAAGCCAGCAGCUGUGCCCUAGAGUCUUGGCCUAAGACAAGCAAAUAAUUGUCAGAUGACUGAAUAGUUCUGUUUCCUUAUUAAAUCUUAGGUUUAGAAUUCCUUUCACAAUUAAAAAGAUUUGGACAACAACUUAAAAUGAAGGCAAUACUAAAAUCUACCUCCAGAUGGGACUGUGAGGACCAGAUGAGAUGCUGUUUUAAAGCCCCGAGACCCCAGCACACAGUAGGUCUUCAAUAGGUAUCAUUCCCUUCCCUGUCCUUUCUGGCAAGGAGUUUAGCUUUGACUUAUUAAGGACUCAUAGGCAAGUCAUUUUUUAAUUGUUAUGGGAGGAAAAAAUGGCAUUGCCUUCCUUGUUUUACUGUGGUUUGUGGAAACUCAAAAAAAAGCAGCGUUCGGUUUUACAAUCUCU